Non-coding RNA from Anas platyrhynchos (mallard), 1568 nucleotides. NCBI's taxonomy places the organism in Eukaryota, Metazoa, Chordata, Aves, Anseriformes, Anatidae. The record is from RefSeq and is a predicted model, not a curated record.
UUGGAGGAGCUGCAGGCUCCAGCUGAUGUAGGAGCUCUGUACAUGAGGUGCUUGGGAAGUCUAGGAAAAAAAAAAAAAAUUAAAUGUGAGAGAUGCCAUCUGACCAACUGGCCCAGAAAUCCCUGAUGAAAUCCAGGGAUGUCAGUGUUACAAGAGGAUGAGAUGUCUGCAGAGCAGUCUUUUAAGGCCUGAUACCUUCGUAGAGGAGGCAGUGUUGGUCACUUUAUGUUCAGAUCUGCUGUGGUGGGCCUAUGGGAGCUGGGCCUGGCCAGGUGCCUGUGCACACCCUGCCUUGGCUGUCCCCUGCUGCAGAGAGCAGUGAAUGCAAAGUGUGGGGCUGUGGGCACAGAGGAGCUCCCCAAGGACCUCACGGGGGCUUUGGGGUGUGUGGGAGCUCCUGGUUUGGGGUCUGGUGCUGCUACAUCUGCCUGGAGCUGUGCUGAGGGAGCAAUGCCCAAAGGGAGGUGGAAACAAUUAAGUUCAGGCUUCAAUUUGUGACAAGCCCUAUGUUAUUCACACUCAUUGCUUCAUCUGAGCUGAAAUUUGAAUCUAAAUUUCAAUGGUCCCUGCUAUUUGCUGCUUUAGUUUGUGUUUACCACCCUUUCUUCCUUCCUUUGCUCCCUUGACAGGCAGAGGAACACACUGCGAAGCUCCUGCAGAGCUAUGCAUUGCUCCCUGGUCUUCCUGCAUCAGUUUCUAGCGCUCUAAGACGAGACAUCAAAUAGAGUGUUAAAAUUGCUCGAAACCAAGCUGCAAGUCUCAACAUCAGAAGGCCUAUUACACUUAUCUGUGACCUCCUGAACACUAAAACCACCGCAUUAUUAUUAUUUUUACAUCUUCGGAUUAUUAUUAGGCUUCUGAACUCUGCUGCAGCUUGAUUUAUAGAAUCUGCUUAGUCACUGGCGCUGCUGCUGUGCUGCGAGGGAGGGAUGGAUGCUCCGCGGUGCUCCAGCAGAGGCUCCUGCCAAGCAGCAGCCGGCGCCCUGACGGAUCACUGGAGGCUGGCGAGCCUUCCUCAGCCCACCGUGGCUGUUAGAACAAACCUGCUUCUCCAUGAAAGCUCGGGCUGAAAAUAUUCAAAGCCUGCUUAACGAAUCCCUUCCUAUCAGUCAGCUGGCAUUUGUUGCUUUGCAUGGAAAGGGAUCGUUGGUUUCGCUGCUCACCUCGCCGGGAGCUCUGCCUGAGGAGCUGGGGAGCAGUGUGCUGGUGAGCUGGGAUCUGAGUUUUGGAAAAGCAGCUCCAGUGAGAGAAGCAAUAAACGCUGCUCUGGGGCUGAGUGUUAUAGGAACCUCCCUCUGUGUCCUGGGAUGCUGCAGGGGUGUCCUGGUGUGUCCCUUGGAGCGCUCUCUCUGCACCCCAUGUGGCUGUGAGCUGCAGAGCUGGGCUUUGCCAACCCAGACGCUGCCCACGCUGCUCGCUGUGACCCGGCACACCUGGGCACGCACCUGGGGCAGAGGCUACGGGACAGGCCCUUACACGAAGGGUGCUGUUCCUGGGUUUUACGAGCACCAGGGCAUGGUAAAUGCUAGUAACUUACUGCUGUUUGAACAUCCCAAUUACAAACCUGU